GACGAACGCUGGCGGCGUGCUUAACACAUGCAAGUCGAACGGAAAGGCCCCUUCGGGGGUGCUCGAGUGGCGAACGGGUGAGUAACACGUGGGUGAUCUGCCCUGCACUUUGGGAUAAGCCUGGGAAACUGGGUCUAAUACCGAAUAUUCCUUGCUGGUCGCAUGGCCUGGUGAGGGAAAGCUUGUGCGGUGUGGGUUGGGCCCGCGGCCUAUCAGCUUGUUGGUGGGGUGAUGGCCUACCAAGGGGACGACGGGUAGCCGGCCUGCGAGGGUGUCCGGCCACACUGGGACUGAGAUACGGCCCAGACUCCUACGGGAGGCAGCAGUGGGGAAUAUUGCACAAUGGGCGCAAGCCUGAUGCAGCGACGCCGCGUGAGGGAUGACGGCCUUCGGGUUGUAAACCUCUUUCAAUAGGGACGAAGCGCAAGUGACGGUACCUAUAGAAGAAGCACCGGCCAACUACGUGCCAGCAGCCGCCGUAA
RNAcentral lists this ribosomal RNA (482 nucleotides) under uncultured bacterium. Its description in RNAcentral is "partial 16S ribosomal RNA". It matches the Rfam family "Bacterial small subunit ribosomal RNA", at positions 28 to 523 of the family's 1533-position model. The record is from RNAcentral.